ACCUGUGGUAGUUUUCUUCCUGGCUGUAUGUUGUUUUCAGAUGAACCUGACACCAUCAGUCAUAAAGGAGCUGGCAGUAGCCAGAGGACAGAAUGCUGACCAGAGCCAUUCCCACUCAAGAGUAUGGCUUUCACCAAA
Molecule: small nucleolar RNA, 138 nt
Organism: Suncus etruscus (white-toothed pygmy shrew)
Lineage: Eukaryota; Metazoa; Chordata; Mammalia; Eulipotyphla; Soricidae
Product: small nucleolar RNA SNORA12
Exons: 1
Source: RefSeq, a predicted model, not a curated record